UCCAGACUCCUACGGGAGGCAGCAGUGAGGAAUAUUGGUCAAUGGUCGGGAGACUGAACCAGCCAAGCCGCGUGAGGGAGGAAGGUACAGAGUAUCGUAAACCUCUUUUGUCAGGGAACAAAGACUGGGACGCGUCCCCGGAUGAGUGUACCUGAAGAAAAAGCAUCGGCUAACUCCGUGCCAGCAGCCGCGGUAAUACGGAGGAUGCGAGCGUUAUCCGGAUUUAUUGGGUUUAAAGGGUGCGUAGGCGGGAUGCCAAGUCAGCGGUAAAAAUGCGGUGCUCAACGCCGUCGAGCCGUUGAAACUGGCGUUCUUGAGUGGGCGAGAAGUAUGCGGAAUGCGUGGUGUAGCGGUGAAAUGCAUAGAUAUCACGCAGAACUCCGAUUGCGAAGGCAGCAUACCGGCGCCCUACUGACGCUGAGGCACGAAAGCGUGGGUAUCGAACAGGAUUAGAUACCCCGUACCC
Molecule: ribosomal RNA, 466 nt
Filed under: uncultured bacterium
Lineage: Bacteria
Description: bacterial SSU rRNA
Rfam family: Bacterial small subunit ribosomal RNA
Source: RNAcentral